This 73-nucleotide transfer RNA is filed under the name Polyplax asiatica. RNAcentral's name for it is "tRNA-Met". The record is from RNAcentral. Lineage: Eukaryota; Metazoa; Arthropoda; Insecta; Psocodea; Polyplacidae.
GAGGAGGUAGGCUAUAAAGUUAAGCCUCUAGAUUCAUAUUCUGGCGAAGCGGGAGAAUUCAACCGCCCCCUCU